RNAcentral lists this long non-coding RNA (1178 nucleotides) under Manduca sexta (tobacco hornworm). Its description in RNAcentral is "uncharacterized LOC119192486". The record is from RNAcentral. Lineage: Eukaryota; Metazoa; Arthropoda; Insecta; Lepidoptera; Sphingidae.
CGUUUUCAAACUGAUCUCGCGGCACGCUCGCUCAUUCUGUCAGUCAGUCGCGCGUCGGAUCCGGGCAGCCGUACAACUUGCAACUUAAGUAGUUAAACGCCAAAAUCAGAAUAAUCAUGAGCACCAAUGAAAAAUCAGUGAAGUGGCCGUCGACAAGGUCGGUGAUGAGAGCAAGGGUGACGCCAAAAGUGACCUAAAAGGAGCGAAAAGGGCAGCCGAGGAAAAAACAACAGAAGCGAAAAAGGCGCGAAAGGAAGAAAAUGGCGGCGGCGGGGAGGACGAGCCGCAUAGUCCGGAGCUGGAUCUGUUUGUAGGAGAGGACGAUGUGGACGACGAUGACGACGAAGACGUCGAGGGCGAGGAGGAGGACGAGGAGCUAGGAGAGGAAGAGGAAGAGGAUCUCGAGGGGGACGAUGACGACGUUGAGGAGGACAUACUGGACGAGGAGGAAGAAGACGAUGCGUAAUACGCCUCGUGCCUCAGCAUGGACAAUGUCACAGUGAUGUGUUAGUGCUAGUGACGGCCCGGACUGACGCGGCCCCGCCUCGCCUCAACUGCGACAGCAGACAGACCCGCAGGCACACACGAGAUAGGAACAAACAGUUGGGAACACGCGGGGCCGGCAACGCUCCCACCUAAAACGGGUGCAGUUAUAAUUUAAAUGACAAAUGUAAUUAAUUAAGUGAAAUUCAAUGCAGAUUUUCAAUUUUUUACAAUAUUUAAGUUCGGUACCGAAGCUGUAUCAUUUAUUCUCGGCUCGAUGCAACGGGUGUGUAAUUAAGACUUAGUAGAAUGCUGUUGAAUUUUGUCAUGAAAUGUACAAAUGUGUUUUUCGAAAGUAAACUUAUUUUAAGUGAAAACCGCUCUGUAUUCUAGGUUGAUACCUGUAAGCCCGUCGUAUGGCGAAAUUGUGAUAUUUUUCUACAGUAGACACCUAACAUUUUAACAAUGCUUUAUUAUUGGUACACGUGCGCGCCAUUUUGAGACGCCGCGAAAAAGCGACCCUUCAUAAACCCCUAUGUUGAACACUCCCGAUAACCGUUUGUCAUGCCUAAUUACACAUUUCAACGGCUAUUGGAAGACUUCUAUUUGGUUUAAUACCAGAUGUAAAAAAAAAAGUAAAAUCAGUGUCCAAAUUUUGGCGCGGAAAAACUUUGAACAUGCAAACAAACAUUGGA